AAACAUGUCAGUGAGCAUCACCGCUGUGAAGGUGCUGCAUGGUUGUCGUCAGCUCGUGCCGUGAGGUGUCGGCUUAAGUGCCAUAACGAGCGCAACCCUUAUCUUCAGUUACUAACAGGUCAUGCUGAGGACUCUGGAGAGACUGCCGUCGUAAGAUGUGAGGAAGGUGGGGAUGACGUCAAAUCAGCACGGCCCUUACGUCCGGGGCUACACACGUGUUACAAUGGGGGGUACAGAAGGCAGCUACCUGGUGACAGGAUGCUAAUCCCAAAAGCCUCUCUCAGUUCGGAUCGAAGUCUGCAACCCGACUUCGUGAAGCUGGAUUCGCUAGUAAUCGCGCAUCAGCCACGGCGCGGUGAAUACGUUCCCGGGUCUUGUACA
This 381-nucleotide ribosomal RNA is filed under the name Bacteroides fragilis. Its description in RNAcentral is "bacterial SSU rRNA". It matches the Rfam family "Bacterial small subunit ribosomal RNA", at positions 1004 to 1387 of the family's 1533-position model. The record is from RNAcentral. Lineage: Bacteria; Pseudomonadati; Bacteroidota; Bacteroidia; Bacteroidales; Bacteroidaceae.